AGGAACCUGCCUUUCAGAGGGGGACAACAGUUGGAAACGACUGCUAAUACCGCAUAACGCAUAGGUAUCGCAUGGUAUCUGUGCCAAAGAUUUAUCGCUGAGAGAUGGCCUCGCGUCUGAUUAGCUAGUUGGUAGGGUAACGGCCUACCAAGGCGACGAUCAGUAGCCGGACUGAGAGGUUGGCCGGCCACAUUGGGACUGAGAUACGGCCCAGACUCCUACGGGAGGCAGCAGUGGGGAAUAUUGGGCAAUGGGCGCAAGCCUGACCCAGCAACGCCGCGUGAAGGAAGAAGGCUUUCGGGUUGUAAACUUCUUUUAAGAGGGAAGAGCAGAAGACGGUACCUCUUGAAUAAGCUCCGGCUAACUACGUGCCAGCAGCCGCGGUAAUACGUAGGGAGCGAGCGUUGUCCGGAUUUACUGGGUGUAAAGGGCGUGCAGCCGGGAGUACAAGUCAGAUGUGAAAUCCCGCGGCUCAACCGCGGAACUGCAUUUGAAACUGUAUUUCUUGAGUACUGGAGAGGCAGACGGAAUUCCUAGUGUAGCGGUGAAAUGCGUAGAUAUUUAGGAGGAACACCAGUGGGCGAAGGCGGUCUGCUGGACAGCAACUGACGGGGGAGGCGNNGAANGNUNGGGGANGCAAAMCAGGAUUAGAUACCCCUGGUAGUCCACGCUGUAAACGAUGGAAUACUAGGUGU
This 695-nucleotide ribosomal RNA is filed under the name uncultured bacterium. RNAcentral describes it as "bacterial SSU rRNA". It matches the Rfam family "Bacterial small subunit ribosomal RNA", at positions 120 to 823 of the family's 1533-position model. The record is from RNAcentral.